RNAcentral lists this transfer RNA (66 nucleotides) under Beringiana fukuharai. RNAcentral describes it as "tRNA-Leu". The record is from RNAcentral. Lineage: Eukaryota; Metazoa; Mollusca; Bivalvia; Unionida; Unionidae.
UAAAAGGGUUAGUAUAAUAAUACCACUGACUUAGGAUCAGUAAAUAAGUAACCUCUUACCCUUUAA